GAUGAAGAACGUAGCGAAAUGCGAUAAGUAAUGUGAAUUGCAGAAUUCAGUGAAUCAUCGAAUCUUUGAACGCACCUUGCGCCCUUUGGCCAUUCCGAAGGGCAUGCCUGUUUGAGUAUCAUGAACACCUCAACUCUUUAUGGUUUUCCAUGAUGAGCUUGGACUCUGGGGGUUUUGCUGGCUCACAGUCGGCUCCUCUAAAAUGAAUCAGCUUACCAGUGUUUGGUGGGUAUCAUGGGUGUGAUAACUAUCUACGCUUGUGGUUUUUCCACCAGGUAACCUGCAGCAGUGGAGGUUCGCUGGAGCUCAUAGAUGUCUCUCCUCAGUGAGGACAGCCCUUUGAAUGUUUGAUCUCAAAUCAGGUAGGACUACCCGCUGAACUUAAGCAUAUCAAUAGCGGAGGA
This 404-nucleotide unclassified non-coding RNA is filed under the name soil metagenome. Its description in RNAcentral is "partial contains 5.8S ribosomal RNA, internal transcribed spacer 2, and large subunit ribosomal RNA". The stretch from base 1 to 121 matches the Rfam family "5.8S ribosomal RNA", at positions 35 to 154 of the family's 154-position model. The record is from RNAcentral.